RNAcentral lists this ribosomal RNA (330 nucleotides) under uncultured eukaryote. Its description in RNAcentral is "partial 18S ribosomal RNA". It matches the Rfam family "Eukaryotic small subunit ribosomal RNA", at positions 1470 to 1796 of the family's 1831-position model. The record is from RNAcentral.
CCCUUAGAUGUUCGGGGCCGCACGCGCGCUACACUGAAGGAAUCAGCACGUCUUUCUCCUUGUCCGAAAGGACUGGGUAACCCGCUGAACCUCCUUCGUGCUAGGGAUUGGGGCUUGUAAUUCUUCCCCAUUAACGAGGAAUUCCCAGUAAGCGCGAGUCAUAAGCUCGCGUUGAUUACGUCCCUGCCCUUUGUACACACCGCCCGUCGCUACUACCGAUUGGAUGGUUUAGUGAGAUCCUCGGAUUGGUCCCGGCGCGGCCUCUGGUCGUGCCGGAGUGCCGAAAAGAAUGUCGAACUUGAUCAUCUAGAGGAAGUAAAAGUCGUAACA